Molecule: microRNA precursor, 124 nt
Filed under: Drosophila guanche
Lineage: Eukaryota; Metazoa; Arthropoda; Insecta; Diptera; Drosophilidae
Source: RNAcentral
CUGUCACGAGAGCGGGAGAGAGAGAGAGAGAGAGAGUCGCUGGGCCACCAACAGGCCAGGAUACAAUCACUCGUUGCUUUCACUCUCUCUCUCUCUCUCUCUCUCUCUCUCAGUCUCCUGUGCU